GAUGAAGAACGUAGCGAAAUGCGAUAAGUAAUGUGAAUUGCAGAAUUCAGUGAAUCAUCGAGUCUUUGAACGCACAUUGCGCCCCCUGGUAUUCCGGGGGGCAUGCCUGUCCGAGCGUCAUUACAACCCUCAAGCUCAGCUUGGUAUUGGGCCCCGCCGCUCCGGCGGGCCCUAAAGUCAGUGGCGGUGCCGUCCGGCUCCGAGCGUAGUAAUUCUUCUCGCUCUGGAGGCCCGGUCGUGUGCUCGCCAGCAACCCCCAAUUUUUUUCAGGUUGACCUCGGAUCAGGUAGGGAUACCCGCUGAACUUAAGCAUAUCAAUAAGCGGAGGA
RNAcentral lists this unclassified non-coding RNA (329 nucleotides) under soil metagenome. RNAcentral describes it as "partial contains 5.8S ribosomal RNA, internal transcribed spacer 2, and large subunit ribosomal RNA". The stretch from base 1 to 120 matches the Rfam family "5.8S ribosomal RNA", at positions 35 to 154 of the family's 154-position model. The record is from RNAcentral.